Erinaceus europaeus (western European hedgehog) is the source of this 3191-nucleotide RNA transcript. It is a transcript of the gene named PRELI domain containing 3A, with no coding region annotated. NCBI's taxonomy places the organism in Eukaryota, Metazoa, Chordata, Mammalia, Eulipotyphla, Erinaceidae. The record is from RefSeq and is a predicted model, not a curated record. The transcript has 7 exons.
CUCCCCAGAUGCAGGGGCGGCUGGGCGGGCCUGCCAGUGUCCCCUCCCCGCCCAGCUUCGCAGCCUGCCGCGCAGCCGGAGCGCGGAUCCUGGAACCCGGAGCCGGCGCCCGGGGGCUGGCAGCGGGCAACGAUGAAGAUCUGGAGCUCGGAGCAUGUGUUCGGCCACCCAUGGGACACCGUCAUCAAGGCUGCCAUGAGGAAGUACCCCAACCCGAUGAACCCUUGUGUGGUGGGAGUGGAUGUGCUGGAGCGGAGCGUGGACGUCCGCGGCCGGCUGCACAGCCACCGGCUCCUCAGCACCGAGUGGGGGCUGCCAGGUCUAGUGCGAGCGGUUUUGGGAACCAGUAGAACUUUGACAUACAUCAAAGAACAUUCUAUUGUGGAUCCUGUGGAAAAGAAAAUGGAACUUUGUUCCACCAAUAUCACACUCACAAACUUGGUGUCGGUGAAUGAGAGGUUGGUGUACAUGCCCCAUCCGGAGAACCCUGAAAUGACCAUGCUUACGCAAGAAGCCAUCAUCACCGUGAAGGGAAUCAGCCUUGGAAGCUAUCUGGAAAGUUUAAUGGCCAACACAAUAUCGUCCAAUGCAAAGAAGGGUCGAGAAGCCUUGGAGUGGGUGAUUGGCCGCCUCAACACAGAACUGGAGGGACUGGCAGCCCCGACCUGCACCAGAGCAUGAACCAGCGACCCCCGGGACAGGGAGACCCAGAGGCCAAGCAGGAAGCCACCGGCACUCGUCACUCCUGUCACCCUCCCCUCCUGUUUGGGGGGCGACACACACUCUGCAUUUGGUUUGUCAGAAGGAACAUGCUAGACUUUGUGGUUAGUGCAUGCCUACAGGCAUGUAGGAAGUGGACUCCUGAAAGGGAGUGAGUUUGCUCUACUUUGCUAUAGCUUACUUUACUUUUCUUGAGAUGGAUAGGAAUUUUUUUUUUCUUUUUCUGCCUCUAGGGUUACCAUUAGGGCUUGGUGCCUGCAUUCUGAAUCCACUGCUCCUGGUGGCCAUUUUUUCCAUUUUAUUGGGUAGGACAGAGAGAAAUUGAGAGAGGAGGGGGGAUAGAGAGGGAAAAAGACACCUGCAGACCUGCUUCACCGCUUGUGAAGCGACUCCCCUGCAGGUGGGGAGCCGGGGCUCAAACUCAGAUUCCAGAUCCUUGCACUCAGUACUAUGUGUGCUUAACCUGGUGUGCCACUAUCUGGCCCCUUGUUUGUUUGGUUUUUUUUUAAAUUUUAAUUAAAAAAUAAAUUUUAAUCGUCUCUUCCUUAGAAGCCAAAAUGCCAGAAUGAAAAAAGAAAUGAUUUUCUCAGCCCUCUUUAAUCUCUGGACAUAUAUACAGAAAUUUCUUUUUUAAUUAUUUCUUUAUUGAGGGAUUAGUGUUUUACACUCAGUAAAUACAACAAAUACAAUAGUUUGUACUGCAUAACAUUUCCCAGUUUUCCACAUAAUACAACCCCCACUAGGCCCUCUGCCCUCAUGUUCCAGGACCUGAGCCCCCCACCCACCCCAUAGACUUUUCCUUUGGUGCAGCACACCAACUCCAGUCCAAGUUCUGCUUUGUGUUCUCUCUUCUGAUCUUGUUUUCAACUUCUGCCUGAGAGUGAGAUCAUCCCAUAUUCAUCUUUCUGUUUCUGACUUACCUUACUUAACAUGAUUUCUUCAAGCUCUAGUCAAGAUGGGCUAAAAACAGUGAAAUCACCACUUUUAAUAGCUGAGUAGUAUUCCAUUGUGUGUAUAGACCACAACUUGCUCAGCCACUCAUCUGUUGUUGGACACUUGGGUUGCUUCCAGAUUUUGGCUAUUACAAAUUGUGCUGCUAAGAACAUAUGUGUACACAGAUCUUUUUGGAUGAGUGUGUUGGGUUCCUUAGGAUAUAUCCCCAGGAGAGGAAUUGCAGGGUCAUAGGGUAGGUCCGAUUCUAGCCUUCUGAGAGUUCUCCACAGAGGUUGGAACAAUUUACAUUCCCACGAGCAGUGCAGGAGGUUUUUUUUUUUUGCCUCCAGGGUUAUGAAUCCACUGCUCCUGGAGGCCAUUUUCCCUCAUUUUUGUUGCCCUGGUUGUUAUUAUUGUUGUUAUUGCUGUUGCUGGAUAUGACAGAGAGAAAUCGAGAGGGGAGGGGAAGACAGAGAGGGGAGAGAAAGACAGACACUGGCAGACCUGCUUCACCGCUUGUGUUGCGACUCCCCUCUAGGUGGGGAGCCGGGGGUUUGAACCAGGAUCCUUGAGCUGGUCCUUGCACUUGGCGCCAUGUGCACUUAACCUGCUGCGCUACUGCCCACCCCCACCCACCAGGAAGGUUCCUUUAAACAGAAAUUUCUAGCUGGAUCUGCAGCUGCGUGCAUUAGGAAUUCAGGUUGAGAAAACUGGGGCAGAGGAUGACCUUGGAAGCUGCUAAGGAAUCUGGCAGGUCAGACUUGGACCCAGGGACACUGACCCUGGGUUUUAAUGGCAGUUGGGUUGGGGGGUGGGUUCUCUGCCCUUUGUUCCCACUGCCCUGCUAGCACUGAAGUCUCCUGGCCCACCAGUAUCACAGCUGCUCUACACACAGGCUUCACUUACUCACUGCAUUUCCUUUUCUCCCCUCACCAUAGACCUUAGACUUCAUUUCCGAGAUGGGGUUUUUGUGAUAGGUCUAUACAAAGUAACAAGCAUCCAAGUUUCAUAGUAGUUUCUAGACAUGCAAUGGCAUAUACUUUCCCUAUGUAUGUGUUAACCAAACCAACCUGCUGAGUUUUUCAGAGGAGAAAUGAGGCCCAGGAGAAACCAUUACUAGUUCUUUCCGUAUUGUCACACAACUUGCCUGAGGUUUUAUCAGAUUUUAUUGCCCAGAAGCAUGAAGUUUCUCUGCUUUCCCUGAGUGCCCAGUAUCAACUGCUGUUGUUAUGUUUCUUGAAUUUGCCAGGAAUAAAAACUAUAAUGUCGGGAGUCGGGCUGUAGCGCAGCGGGUUAAGCGCAGGUGGCGCAAAGCACAAGGACCGGCAUAAGGAUCCCGGUUCGAACCCCGGCUCCCCACCUGCAGGGGAGUCGCUUCACAAGCGGUGAAGCAGGUCUGCAGGUGUCUGUCUUUCUCUCCUCCUCUCUGUCUUCCCCUCCUCUCUCCAUUUCUCUCUGUCCUAUCCAACAACGACAACAACAAUAAUAACUACAACAGUAAAACAACAAGGGCAACAAAAGGGAAUAAAUAAAUAAAA